AUGGCGACUGCGGCGGUGACGGCGGCCGCGGUGUCCCCGGCGCCGGCGGCCGUGGCGGAGGGCGCCUCUUCAGUGCACUGGUUCCGCAAGGGGCUGCGGCUUCACGACAAUCCCGCGCUGCUGGCGGCCGUGCGCGGGGCGCGCUGCGUGCGUUGCGUUUACAUCCUCGACCCCUGGUUCGCGGCCUCUUCCUCGGUCGGCAUCAACCGGUGGAGGUUCCUGCUUCAGUCUCUGGAAGACUUGGACACAAGUCUGAGAAAACUGAACUCACGCCUGUUUGUAGUCCGGGGACAGCCAGCUGAUGUGUUCCCGAGGCUGUUCAAGGAAUGGGGGGUGACCCGCUUGACCUUCGAGUAUGACUCCGAACCCUUCGGGAAGGAACGGGAUGCUGCCAUCAUGAAGAUGGCCAAGGAGGCCGGCGUGGAGGUGGUGACUGAGAACUCGCACACACUCUAUGACCUGGACAGGAUCAUCGAGCUGAAUGGGCAGAAGCCGCCCCUCACCUAUAAGCGCUUCCAGGCCAUCAUCAGCCGCAUGGAGCUGCCCAAGAAGCCCGUGGGCUCUGUGACCAGCCAGCAGAUGGAGGGCUGCCGGGCCGACAUCCAGGAGAACCAUGACGAGACCUAUGGUGUGCCCUCUCUGGAGGAGCUGGGGUUCCCCACGGAAGGACUGGGUCCAGCUGUAUGGCAAGGAGGAGAGACCGAAGCACUGGCCCGCCUGGAUAAGCACUUGGAACGGAAGGCCUGGGUUGCCAACUAUGAGAGACCUCGAAUGAACGCCAACUCCCUGCUGGCCAGCCCCACGGGCCUCAGCCCCUACCUGCGCUUCGGUUGCCUGUCCUGCCGCCUCUUCUACUACCGCCUGUGGGACCUGUACAAAAAGGUGAAGCGGAACAGCACACCCCCGCUCUCCCUCUUUGGGCAACUUCUGUGGCGAGAGUUUUUCUACACGGCAGCUACCAACAACCCCAGGUUUGACCGCAUGGAGGGGAACCCCAUCUGUAUCCAGAUCCCCUGGGACCGCAACCCCGAGGCUCUGGCCAAGUGGGCCGAGGGCAAGACAGGCUUCCCUUGGAUUGACGCCAUCAUGACCCAGCUGAGGCAGGAGGGCUGGAUCCACCAUCUGGCUCGGCACGCCGUGGCCUGCUUCCUCACGCGCGGGGACCUCUGGGUCAGCUGGGAGAGCGGGGUCCGGGUGUUCGACGAGCUGCUCCUGGACGCAGAUUUCAGCGUGAACGCAGGCAGCUGGAUGUGGCUGUCCUGCAGCGCCUUCUUCCAGCAGUUCUUCCACUGCUACUGCCCCGUGGGCUUCGGCCGCCGCACGGACCCCAGUGGAGACUACGUCAGACGAUACCUACCCAAAUUGAAAGGCUUCCCCUCUCGGUACAUCUAUGAGCCCUGGAAUGCCCCCGAGUCCGUUCAGAAGGCAGCCAAGUGCGUCAUCGGUGUGGACUACCCGCGGCCCAUCGUCAACCACGCCGAGACCAGCCGGCUCAACAUUGAGCGAAUGAAGCAGAUUUACCAGCAGCUGUCGCGCUACCGGGGACUCUGUCUCCUGGCGUCUGUCCCCGCCUGUGUGGAAGACCUCAGCAACCCAGUGGCAGAGCCCAGCUCGAGCCAGGCUGGCAGCACAAGCAGUGCAGGCCCACGACCACUCCCCAGCGGCGCAGCCUCUCCCAAGCGCAAGCUGGAAGCCGAGGAGGAGGCCCCUGGUGAAGAACUCAGCAAACGGGCCAGGGUGGCGGGGCUGCCCACCCCAGAGGCGCCCGGCAAGGACGUCUGAGCUUACGUAGCUCUGUGACACUGAACAAGUUCCGUUCUGCCCUGCAAAUCAGGAACUCGCCAGGCUAGUGCUCUGAUGCUUCAGCUGCAGCACCGUGGCCCCGUGAACAAAGCUGGCGCACCCGAGCAACAGCCACGCUGCAGCGCACCUGCAGAAAAGCUGGUCACUGACGGAGCGAGCAGGCCUGUGCGCGUGCGCGUGGGGGGAGCGCUGUGCCUGGGCGCCUGCGCGCGCUUCUGCUCACACGCUGACCUGCACGCCGCCAGGGCUGGAGGGGCCCCUGCAGCACCUCGCCUCCACCCCGACCCCAGAGUGGAGGUUAUGGGGUGGAGACCUGUCCCGGCAAGCCAGCUGCCUGUCUGCCUAGAGGAGGGUGGGACCCUCGCUGGAUCCUGGCAUCUCCCCGCCCUCCCAAAGUCUCCUCCUUCCCUCCUUCCAUCAGUCUGAGGAGCAGGGAGGCACCAUUUUGGACUCUCGUCCAGAACGUGAGAUUGUAGAGACAGCCAGAGCCCUGCUGAGUUCCCCCUAUGACCCUGAGACUGGGCAGGCUGGAGUGGACGGGUACUGUCCAGUCAUCUGGCCUGGCUUCUCUCUUUGAAAUUUCCUGCCACCUGGCCUUCCAGCCCCUUCCUCAGGCAUCUAGACUGAGCACAGUGUUUCUGGCAUCAAAUGGAAACGUCCAGGCACCCACCGGCAUGCUGUGUGCAUGGUGCUAAGCUGACAGCCAAGGCAGCGCGUUCACCUUUGGGGACUGAACCCUAAGGUCAGGAACAGAACCCCAGCCCUCUCUCUUCCUUCCCUCAACACUGUGCUCCAGGUUCUUGGUGGUUUAACCCCUGGCCCUCUUGCCACUCUAGGGCAGCUGACAUCCAAACAUGGGGGCCAUUCUAGUCCAUGUUCUGGAGGCUUCCAGGACCAGCCCUGGACUGUUCAGUGCAAGCCAUGUCACUCUCCCAAGGGCUGGACACUCGAGGACCCAGGCAGGUCUCAGGCGGCACUGCCAGGGGUACUUGGGGAAGGUCCCAGCACGCCAACAUUUCCAGAAGCAGCAGGUGGGAGGUUUGCCCCAGAGAAGCCAAGGAAUGCAAGUGCAGGAGGCCUUGCGUUCCAGGCGUGACCUGUGCCUCCCACUCCCACCCACUGCCGAUGGCCUGCGUUGGGAAAGACAUAAUGAGAAGAAGGACUGUGCGGUCAGCAGCAAGUCUUCCUUCCACCUGCGGCCUGCACUCGAGCCACAGAGUGUGUGUGUGCUGUGGGGUUGUGCAGGUGCACGGGUGGCUGAGAGCUGAUUCCCCUUAGAACUUCACGCUCACAUGUAAAUUGAGCUGGCCUCCGGGCGCCUCCUCUCUACCUCCCCUGUGAUCGCUCCUAGCCCCAUAGCUGUUGACUCCCUUGGCCGCAGCCCUGCCCCUUCUCACCUUUGGUCCUGGCACUAAGACCCAGGGACAGGCCCCGUCUCCUGGGCUGCCCAGCACAUUGCCGGCUUCCCGAGAUGCCUUUGGGUUCCCACAGCCUGUCAUCACAGGCCAGCUGUGGGCCCUCGCUGGAGAUGCCCCUGAUUUCAGGUGGUGGGCAGGGCACAGGUGACGGCGUGUGUUUGCAGCAUUGCGCCAGGGCCUCCGACCCCAGUCAGGAGGAAAGUGAGCUGGGGCUGUAGACACCGGGGGCCAGGCUGGAAGAGCCGCUCCGAGAAACUGCGCAGUCUGGAGCGCACAGGCGGGUGCGUGUGCCCGGCGGCAUCCGGUUCCCUUUCCCUGCCCACCGAAUGCUGUUGCUCUCACCUAAGGUGCACCAUGGGGGGCACCUGCCCUGUCUCUCCACCACCCGUGACUUACCAGCCCACUCCCUACUGAAGGGAGUGCGGGGGUGGGGUGACGAGAGGGCACAGCCAUGGCCUGUGUCCGCAGCGGCUUUGUGCGCUGCCCCUUGGCCCAGGUGUGCCUGGGGGCUGCUGCAGAGCUUUGCCCAAAUUGACUCAGGUCUCAGCAUGGGGAAGAGAUGGUCACAGGCAAAAUGCACUUUAUAGAGCGAUUUUCUGUUACGGGGAAGGUGUGUUUCUUCCACAGUGUUUGUACUCACUUGUCUCAUAAAUGUCUGAUCCUGUCU
Molecule: RNA transcript, 3888 nt
Organism: Condylura cristata (star-nosed mole)
Lineage: Eukaryota; Metazoa; Chordata; Mammalia; Eulipotyphla; Talpidae
Gene: CRY2
Gene name: cryptochrome circadian clock 2
Exons: 13
Source: RefSeq, a predicted model, not a curated record